CAGUCGCCGCGGUAAUACGGAGGAUCCGAGCGUUAUCCGGAAUUAUUGGGUUUAAAGGGUGCGUAGGCGGAUAGAUAAGUCAGUGGUGAAAGACGGUGGCUCAACCAUCGCAGUGCCGUUGAUACUGUUUAUCUUGAAUAUGGAUGAGGUAGGCGGAAUGUGGCAAGUAGCGGUGAAAUGCAUAGAUAUGCCACAGAACACCGAUUGCGAAGGCAGCUUACCAAGGCAAAAUUGACGCUGAGGCACGAAAGCGUGGGGAUCGAACAGGAUUAGAUACCCGCGUAGUCCAUGUCUCUUAUAC
This 301-nucleotide ribosomal RNA is filed under the name uncultured bacterium. RNAcentral describes it as "partial 16S ribosomal RNA". It matches the Rfam family "Bacterial small subunit ribosomal RNA", at positions 509 to 807 of the family's 1533-position model. The record is from RNAcentral.